UCAAUAAGAGAAAUAAUAGACAUCUGCUCUCACUUCAGGGAGUCAGUUACCUGCAGCAACUAAGGUUAAUGUGUGUGAGUAUUACAUUCCAAUAAAUGUUAUAGAU
Long non-coding RNA from Etheostoma cragini (Arkansas darter), 106 nucleotides. RefSeq lists it as uncharacterized. The record is from RefSeq and is a predicted model, not a curated record. The transcript is spliced from 4 exons. Lineage: Eukaryota; Metazoa; Chordata; Actinopteri; Perciformes; Percidae.